GCAUAAACGAAGAAGAGAAAAGUAGCAUAUUUGGAAAUUACAGAGAGAGUUGGAGGCUGAGAGCAACUUAUGGAAAUAUAUGUGAAGACCGUCUCGGAGUGGCUUUAAUACAGCACGUUGAUUACGUUAUAAUCAAAUGAGGGGUAUAUUUAUAUAUCUGAAUUAAGGUGGAACCGCGUCAAUCGCCCUUAAA
RNAcentral lists this non-coding RNA (193 nucleotides) under Lachnoanaerobaculum sp. RNAcentral describes it as "T-box sequence". It matches the Rfam family "T-box leader". Rfam says of the family: Uncharged tRNA acts as the effector for transcription antitermination of genes in the T-box leader family. T-boxes are found upstream of many aminoacyl-tRNA synthetase genes and some amino acid biosynthetic genes usually in Gram-positive bacteria. The record is from RNAcentral. Lineage: Bacteria; Bacillati; Bacillota; Clostridia; Lachnospirales; Lachnospiraceae.